GAUCAGAUACCGUCGUAGUCUUAACUAUAAACUAUGCCGACCAAGGAUUGGAAGUUGAUAAUUAUAUUUAUAUAAAAUCUUUUCAGAACUUUAUAAGAAAUUAAAAGUUUUUGGGUUCUGGGGGGAGUAUGGUCGCAAGGCUGAAACUUAAAGGAAUUGACGGAAGGGCACCACCAGGAGUGGAGCCUGCGGNUUAAUUUGACUCANCACGGGAAAACUUNCCAGGUCCAGACACAGUUAGGNUUGACAGAUUGNGAGCUCUUUCNUGCUCUUUCUUGAUUCUGUGGGUGGUGGUGCAUUGCCGUUCUUAGUUGGUGGAGUGAUUUGUCUGGUUAAUUCCGAUAACGAACGAGACCUCAGUUUAUUAAUUAAAUAANAAAAUAUUAACAAUAUAAGGGUUAGGAGUUUAUUGAUAAAUUAACUUGUAAUUUAUUAAUUUCUUUUAAAACUUGUUUAUAUUUCUUUUUAUUUUCUUAAAAAGACACUUGGUGUUUAACCAAGGGAAGUUUGAGGCAAUAACAGGUCUGUGAUGCCCUUUAGAUGUUCUGGGCCGCACGCGCGCUACACUGAUAAAAUCAAUAAGUUUUUUAUUAAAUUAACCUUAAUAGAAAUAUUUGGGUAAACUUUGAAAAUUUUAUCGUGCUGGGGAUUGACAAUUGUAAUUAUUUGUCAUCAACGANGGAAUUCCUAGUAAACGUAAGUCAUCAGCUUACGUUGAUUACGUCCCUGCCCUU
RNAcentral lists this ribosomal RNA (734 nucleotides) under Korotnevella stella. RNAcentral describes it as "bacterial SSU rRNA". It matches the Rfam family "Eukaryotic small subunit ribosomal RNA", at positions 1006 to 1660 of the family's 1831-position model. Lineage: Eukaryota; Discosea; Flabellinia; Dactylopodida; Paramoebidae. The record is from RNAcentral.